Small nuclear RNA from Cercocebus atys (sooty mangabey), 95 nucleotides. The record is from Ensembl. Lineage: Eukaryota; Metazoa; Chordata; Mammalia; Primates; Cercopithecidae.
UAAAUAUUCAAAUUUGAAUGAGAACGAUACAGCGAAGAUUAGCAUGGCCCCUGGGCAAGGAUGACAUGCAAAUUCAUGAAGAGUGCCAUAUUUUA